This 350-nucleotide ribosomal RNA is filed under the name uncultured bacterium. Its description in RNAcentral is "bacterial SSU rRNA". It matches the Rfam family "Bacterial small subunit ribosomal RNA", at positions 29 to 408 of the family's 1533-position model. The record is from RNAcentral.
AACGAACGCUGGCGGCAGGCCUAACACAUGCAAGUCGAGCGCACCUUCGGGUGAGCGGCGGACGGGUUAGUAACGCGUGGGAACGUGCCCUUCUCUACGGAAUAGCCUCUGGAAACGGAGAGUAAUACCGUAUACGCCCUUUGGGGGAAAGAUUUAUCGGAGAAGGAUCGGCCCGCGUUAGAUUAGGUAGUUGGUGGGGUAACGGCCUACCAAGCCUACGAUCUAUAGCUGGUUUUAGAGGAUGAUCAGCAACACUGGGACUGAGACACGGCCCAGACUCCUACGGGAGGCAGCAGUGGGGAAUCUUAGACAAUGGGGGCAACCCUGAUCUAGCCAUGCCGCGUGAGUGA